GGUUAAAAGUGUUGGGGCUAAAGUCAAGGUGGUGAAGGACCUCCUUGGCAGAACGAAGUCACAGCACCCUUGGGAGGGCAAUGGCAUGUGGUGAGGAGCUGUGGACAGGACCAGGAGGAGAGGCCAGGGCUGGAGCAAGUCUGUAUCCUGCUGCAGCCCCGUUGCCCCCAUGCUGUGGCCUGUUGCAUCCUGGAGAAAGCAGAGUGGUGCUUGUGCUGCUUCAAGAAUGAGAAUCAUGAAGCCUGGAUUAUUCAAACAAAUUCUGGGGCAGUCUUCUGACUUCAAAUGUUUCCUGGAAUGCUUUUGUGAAAAAUGAGCAGCCAAGCAGUUCUCAUCCAGUUUGUGUGUCUGAUUCUUUGUGAACAAGAGAAUCCCAGGUUCACAGCAAGCCCCAGAGUAUCCUGCAAAGCCAUCUGAGUCAAGUUACAUUUUGCACUCUGCUCAUCCCCUUGAUUAAAAAACACACACAAAAAAAACAAGGUAUCAAUCAGUGAAACAACAAUACUGUCCAGCUUUCCAUGACAGAUAAUGCCUGGUUAGCCCAACUGUGGUUUCACCUCUUGAAAGUACUCUGUGUCUGCCCACAAGUGCUGUUACCUUUGCUGGGAGCAGCUGGGUGCUGGUUUGGCACCGCUCUGCAUGCUGCAGUCACUGCAUCUGAACAGAAAACUCCAAAUUGGUACCUCUUGUUUCACAGCUUGGAUAAUCAUAUUUCACUAAACUGGUACGCAAGGAGGCUUCAGCCCAUCUGACAGCUUUAUUCUUGUGAGGAGAGCAAAGCAGGAUGCUUGCUCUGACGUGCCCGUGCUUGGGUCUGUGCAUGAAUUGCUCAGUGCACAGUGGCUGCACUGGGGUGGGGUGUGCAAGCAGAGAGCUGCGUGAGCACAGACGUUGCACGAGGUGUGGCAAACUCCUUUGCACAGACCAAGCGGGCAGUGGCUUUGAGGAGCUGCAGCUUCCUCGGUCUGGCAGAACUCCUCCAUUAGAUGCUUCUCAGCUCUGUGGAGAUUUGCUUCUGCUGGAUCCUGUAGUCUGAAUCACUUGUUUUCCCUGACUGUACGGCCUGUUCAUCAGUUGGAGCAAUGUUUCCAGAGCAUUGUCAUAAGCCAGGCUCGCACGUGUCUUCAGACUAGGCUGUGGAGGAGCCCCCCUUCUGCCCGGAUUUCUGCUGUUGGGUGCCGUGUGACCUUACAGCGGUGCCAUUCCCUCACCGGGUGGUGGCAUGCAGCGGUGACAUUCCCUAACUGCCCGCAGUGGAUCUAGCACACAAGUCCAAGAGCCCACGAGUCCAAGAGAGUUCACAGAGCGCUUCUCCACCCUGCUUUGUUGCUGGUUCCUGAGCCGAUAUCGCUGUGCCACGUACUGCUCUUUGUAUGUGCAAGCUCUCCUAAGUUCCACAUAGAUAUGGCGCUCUUCGCUUCCUGAAGCCGUCACGUAGCGAUGCAAUCGGAUCACCUUCUGGGCUCCACUCACUUGGUGCCUGCAUUUCAGAAGCGGGUCAAUACAGCCCGGAUGCAAUGCCAGGUCUAAGAUCGUCAGAAAAGAACUGAAGAUGAGGACCGUGCAGGCCUGCAGAGGACUCAGGUGCCCUCCGUGCCCCCCUCCUCCAUCCCCAGAUGUGUCCUGGAUACCUGGACUCCACAGUUUCCCUGCCCUGAUAAGGCAUCAAAAGGAACCAGAACUCCUUAUCGUUAGGUCCCCAGUACAUACUAUUCACCAGAUAACUUCUCCCAUCCCAACCAUCUCUGAUGGUUUCCUACCCUGCCAGAAGUCAAUCAAUCUGUCCUUGAACAUGGAGCUGUGAAAUGAAGAUGCGAUACUAUACUGCAUGCAAAAAAAAUAUAUCCUCUGAUGUUGAGCAUGGCAUAUCCCAUGUCUGCAAGUAAGUCUGCAUACCUGAAGAUUUGCUACUUAUGUGACUCCUGCAAGAAACAGGAAAGAAUAAGACUUAAAAUUAUGCCUCUGAUGGGAAAGGCUGCAGCACUCCCCAGAAGGGUUGAUCCAUCACACCAAGUGCCGCUGUCUGCCUGUCAAGUAUUAGGCUCCUUGGGCAGAGCGUGAUUUGGCAUUCAGUGUUACAACAGUCAUUAUUCCAAAGAAGCCCACAAUUUGGGACCGAACAAGUGAUGGUAAUGGUUACCGAAUGAAAGUCACAAAAGCACGCUCCACAGCUGAGCUUGCAUUUAAAAAAGCAGCUUUAUAAAAGGU
Molecule: long non-coding RNA, 2208 nt
Organism: Cygnus olor (mute swan)
Lineage: Eukaryota; Metazoa; Chordata; Aves; Anseriformes; Anatidae
Exons: 15
Source: RefSeq, a predicted model, not a curated record